RNAcentral lists this ribosomal RNA (451 nucleotides) under uncultured organism. RNAcentral describes it as "partial 16S ribosomal RNA". It matches the Rfam family "Bacterial small subunit ribosomal RNA", at positions 329 to 797 of the family's 1533-position model. The record is from RNAcentral.
ACGUACACUCCUGCGGGAGGCAGCAGUGGGGAAUAUUGGACAAUGGGCGCAAGCCUGAUCCAGCCAUGCCGCGUGAGUGAUGAAGGCCCUAGGGUUGUAAAGCUCUUUCACCGGUGAAGAUAAUGACGGUAACCGGAGAAGAAGCCCCGGCUAACUUCGUGCCAGCAGCCGCGGUAAUACGAAGGGGGCUAGCGUUGUUCGGAUUUACUGGGCGUAAAGCGCACGUAGGCGGACUAUUAAGUCAGGGGUGAAAUCCCGGGGCUCAACCCCGGAACUGCCUUUGAUACUGGUAGUCUUGAGUUCGAGAGAGGUGAGUGGAAUACCGAGUGUAGAGGUGAAAUUCGUAGAUAUUCGGAGGAACACCAGUGGCGAAGGCGGCUCACUGGCUCGAUACUGACGCUGAGGUGCGAAAGCGUGGGGAGCAAACAGGAUUAGAAACCCCUGUAGUCCC